GACGGUAACUAACCCCACGGGUGGGUAUAGCCGCGGGAAACUGUGGGUAAUCCCCAGCGACGUCACGAGGGGGCAUCCUCUUGUGACCAAAGGUCCGCCGCCGUGGGACGGGCCGUCGUGGUAUUAGGUUGUUGGCGGGGUAACGGCCCACCAAGCCUACGAUGCCUACCGGGCGUGCGAGCGUGGCCCGGCACACUGGGACUGAGACACUGCCCAGACUCCUACGGGAGGCUGCAGUCGAGAAUCUUCGGCAAUGGGCGCAAGCCUGACCGAGCGACGCCGCGUGGAGGACGAAGGCCUUCGGGUUGUAAACUCCUGUCGAGGGGGAAGAAGGCCCCAAAAGGGCUUGACUGAUCCCUGGAGGAAGCACGGGCUAAGUUCGUGCCAGCAGCCGCGGUAAGACGAACCGUGCGAACGUUAUUCGGAAUCACUGGGCUUAAAGCGCGUGUAGGCGGGACGGCACGUCGGUCGCUGAAAGCCCCCGGCUCAACCGGGGAACGGGCGCCGAUACGACCGUCCUG
RNAcentral lists this ribosomal RNA (521 nucleotides) under uncultured Planctomycetota bacterium. Its description in RNAcentral is "bacterial SSU rRNA". It matches the Rfam family "Bacterial small subunit ribosomal RNA", at positions 117 to 643 of the family's 1533-position model. Lineage: Bacteria; Pseudomonadati; Planctomycetota. The record is from RNAcentral.